Molecule: small RNA, 507 nt
Filed under: Tannerella forsythia KS16
Lineage: Bacteria; Pseudomonadati; Bacteroidota; Bacteroidia; Bacteroidales; Tannerellaceae
Description: Acido-Lenti-1 RNA
Source: RNAcentral
CGCUGACACUCUGAAUGACAAGGAAAGUGCUCUGAAUGACAGGGUAGAGGAAAGGGCAGUUCAUGUAGGGGCAAACCUCUGUGUUCAACCGUCAUAACGCCGAUAUGCACAUCCCCCUUUCCCCCCUUCCAAGGAGGAAUGCGGAACUGACGGCUGACUGCUGUAAGAGCCCUGAAAGGGCGUGUUAAUUCAGCCCAAUGCGAAGCGCUGGGGAAAAAGGCAUCGCGUCUCGGCGAAGGGCUGUAAGCCUGACGUAACCCUUGUCGUACAUUCGUACGUUCAUUAUUAAUGGUAAACGCCGAACCGUGUAUCGCGUAAUUUGGGUUCAAUCAUCCCGAAAAAGAUUGGGAAGCGAGGCUUAAAGCAACAGCGGAAUCACCUCUGCUACAAUUAUCGUUUUUUGACUGGGGGGCUUGGAAAUCAAAAACAGAUACUUGACUUUGGAUUAUCAAUUGUCAAGCAUCUGUUUGUUGGCUCUAUGCCGUUUUAUCGGACGGCAAUGAAUUU